Molecule: ribosomal RNA, 495 nt
Filed under: Triticum aestivum (bread wheat)
Lineage: Eukaryota; Viridiplantae; Streptophyta; Magnoliopsida; Poales; Poaceae
Description: partial small subunit ribosomal RNA
Source: RNAcentral
AUGAGUUGCCUCAGCUGGAACUGCCGGGGGCUUGGGAACCCCGAGGCAGUUCGGGAGCUUCGCAACAUUGUGAAGCAGGAAGGACCCGGUCUCUUAUUUCUUAUGGAGACCAAAAUUUUAGCCAAGCGAGUGGAGAAUCUUCAGAACUCCCUUGGUUUUGCAGGAUGUGUUGCGGUGAGCAGCGUUGGACUCAGUGGAGGACUAGGUUUGUUCUGGUCUGCUGAGCUCGAUGUUGAGCUCAAAAAUUACAGUUCUGCCCAUAUAGAUGUUAUGGUGCAGCGGAAGAAUGACACGUCCAAAAAGUGGCGUGUUACUGGAUUCUAUGGAGCUCCAUGCGUGGAAGAUAGAUGCCACAGUUGGAGAUUCAUGAGAACAUUGUUUGCUAUCCAGCAUGAAGCUUGGAUGUGCAUCGGGGAUUUCAACGAAACUUUAUUCGGCUCGGAACACUUCUCUCUCUCACCAAGACCUGAGUGGCAGAUGAAAGCGUUCCGGUAG